AUAGAACUAUAACGUGAAAACGGGAUCGACCAUGGAAUUACUACUGGAGAAACGACUUUUGUGAACGUGAUUAUCGAACGGCUCAUAAGGGCUUUUAUGCAAACGUGAUUCUCUCUCAGUGAAAUGGUUUAUUGGUUUGCUUCUCUUGCGCAACAAUAACAAAUCGUUCGCAAUUACAAGUUUUUGGUGAGACUUCGAUUUGAUUUCAGCUUCAAUCUUCUUUGUCCCUCUUCUUCUACUACUGUUGUGCGAUGGUUGUUCGCUUCUGGUUUGUGAUUCAGUAUCGAAUUGUUAACGUGUUUUUUCGUUUCGUAACUUGUACCACAAGUGUUUGGUGAAAUACCUGAAUUGAAUUCUUUCUCUUUUUUGUUUGAUUUCUGCUGCAGAAUUGUUGUUGAUGAUGAUUGUUGUUGAUACUUGAACUCUUGAAUUGGUAUUGUUGUUGAUGCUUGAAUUCUUGUAAGUGGUGAGGGUGGUGGAGUAUGAAGCUUUGUGAAGUUAUUUGGUGAAAUUUCAAGGUUUCUUCAAAGUGAAAAAACUUGAAGAUAAUGAUGAAAUUGGAUAGAGUUUUGAUGGAAGCUUGCGUGUUGUAGAAACAAUGGCUUCUACAUCAAUUUGUGGAAUUAUACACACUAUUUUUGGUGGACAGCCUCUGCUAGUUCUAGGAGUUGCAUAACCCAAUAUUCUUAUGUACAUAGAUUUGUACAAUUAUGCCAAAAAUACGGAGGGCUUGGGACAAGAACUUUAUUUGGCUUGGGUAGCAUGGGUUUGUGUAUGGAAUGCUCUACUACUGUUUCUGUUAGCAAUAUUCAAUUCUUGGAGUGAAAGUUUAAUUAAGUGGAAACUACCAAGUUGCAUAGAGCAUUUAAAAUCACCUUCAAAUUUGACCUCUUUGAUAAUUGAAGUUGUUCAUUUGAUGAUGGAAUGAAUCAGACACUUGAAUGCCCCUGCCCCUAUUAUAAACUCUUAAAUUCGCUUCAGGGAACGAGCAGCUUGAAGACAAACCUAGGUUUCAAAACACCAGGUGAAUGUUUCUUGUAUGACCUGGUGUGAGGCUGUAUAUUUGAGGUAUUCGAUGAUCUUCCUAUUAUUGAUCAUAUAUUUUAUGGUGAAAAGAUUUUCUCUUAUAAACAUGAAUUCGGGAGAAUUGGGGUAGUGGUUGAUUUUGUAUAUGCAAUCGAAAAGUUUGCUCUUAUCUUUGAAGAAAAGGCUUCGGAUACUUCUAUUAAGAAACAACAUGUUAUGUCCUUUCUCACUUGUUGCAGACGGCUGGAGGGAACCGAAUAUAGUUUUUCUUCUGAUUUCGCAAUCGUCAUACAUAAAAUGAAGUUGUUGCAAACUAGUGUUGGUGAUUUCAGGUGCCCAAAAAAUGUAUUUUAUAUGGUCCAGAGUGGGAGUCUAUAUCUUCUAUAGCUCAUCUCCCCUUCAUUGAUAAUGGAACACAAGAAUUCAAGGAGGAGCUAAAGAGAAUUGGUGUUAUUACUGAACUGAAAGAUGGAUUGGGGUUUGUGGCUGAAUGUCUGAAUUUUCCUUCGGAUCCCUCCAGCAUUAGUCCCGAAAGUGUGUUUUCUUUACUAGAAUGCAUCCAGCUGCUAAUACGAGAUAGCAAGUUUACAAUUGAAGGUGAUUUUAGAAAAAGAUUGUCCGAACUUCAUUGCAAACUAUGGAGUUCCUUUCAUGGUAGUGCUGUGGAGUGUGGACAACUUUAUCAUUCGCAGUAGUAUCGAGUAAAGUAACUUGCAGAGUUAUCCGUUCUUUUUCUUACAAGUUGCAAUGUGAAAUUAAUUAAUAUAGUAAUAUAGUAAUAAUGCAUUGAUGUGUGUUUUUUGUGUUAGGUUGAAGGUUCAACUUUCUGAGGGAACUAGAAGUCCAUUUCAUGUCAGGCAUCCUAAACGAAUGCAAAUUCCAUUCUCAAUGGAGACAUGGAGAAGAAGAUGUGGAUGUAGUUACUGGCUCAAGCGAUCAUUAUCAUUCUCAUGCACCGAUAUCACUGGUAGUAACUCUAGUGGGUUUGAGAAUUGGGUAUUGUUUUCGAUUUCUGGGGAUGAGCCUACUCCUAGAUUCAAUGUAAUGUCUAUAUCUCUCUUUUCCCAUUCUUUUCUUUAAUCGUUGGGGAUAAGCCUACUCCUAGAUUCAAUCAUCUUGCUGCUGUCAUUGGGAAUAAGAUCAUAGUGGUCGGCGGAGAGUCUGCUACCAGAUUGUUAGAUGAUGUGCAGAUGUAAGAUCAAUUCGAUUUGCAAGUGGGGCAUUAAACCAGCCCUCAAAGUUCUAAGGUGAAUUGAAAAUGGUUAGGAGAAGAAAAUUCAGCAGUGACCACAAUUCUCAUAGUUUGUUCUAAAUUGGAAUACCGCUCAACCUAAGUAUCGAUUAAUUGUGGGGCUGGUUAAAUGUUUGCACGGUGCAGAGCAGAGUACAUGGAGUGUUACUAGUUCCUACUGCAGUUGUAUUAUUACCUUGGAAUGUUACCUUUUAUAGUGGGUCUGUUUUGAUGUAGUAUGUGAAAUUUUAACAAAAGAGAAAACAAAUAUUUUUGAAAUACUUUGGUUGUCUAAUUGUCUCUAAUUUAUUAACUUUAUUUGAAAAUUUUACUUUAAUGAUAAUUACUUUAUCUCUCUAAACAAGUGAACUUCUUAUUGAAAUGAAAUUUUUACUAAAAUAGGGUGUAAAUAGAAUUAAAUAUAAUAUAAUUUGUUCAUUCAAUGGUGUAUUUACACUUGAUUUUUACUAAAAUAGGGUAUAAUUAAGAACGU
This is an RNA transcript of Vicia villosa (hairy vetch), 2750 nucleotides long. RefSeq lists it as uncharacterized. The record is from RefSeq and is a predicted model, not a curated record. Lineage: Eukaryota; Viridiplantae; Streptophyta; Magnoliopsida; Fabales; Fabaceae. The transcript is spliced from 6 exons.